This 394-nucleotide ribosomal RNA is filed under the name uncultured Oscillospiraceae bacterium. Its description in RNAcentral is "bacterial SSU rRNA". It matches the Rfam family "Bacterial small subunit ribosomal RNA", at positions 355 to 762 of the family's 1533-position model. Lineage: Bacteria; Bacillati; Bacillota; Clostridia; Eubacteriales; Oscillospiraceae. The record is from RNAcentral.
UGGGGAAUAUUGGGCAAUGGGGCGAAAGCCUGACCCAGCAACGCCGCGUGAAGGAAGAAGGUCUUCGGAUUGUAAACUUCUUUUAUGAGGGACGAAGGACGUGACGGUACCUCAUGAAUAAGCCACGGCUAACUACGUGCCAGCAGCCGCGGUAAUACGUAGGUGGCAAGCGUUGUCCGGAUUUACUGGGUGUAAAGGGCGCGUAGGCGGGAUGGCAAGUCAGAUGUGAAAUCCAUGGGCUCAACCCAUGAACUGCAUUUGAAACUGUAUCUCUUGAGUGUCGGAGAGGUAGAUGGAAUUCCUAGCGUAGCGGUGAAAUGCGUAGAUAUUAGGAGGAACACCAGUGGCGAAGGCGAUCUACUGGACGAUAACUGACGCUGAGGCGCGAAAGCGU